GACGAACGCUGGCGGCGUGCCUAAUACAUGCAAGUAGAACGCUGAAGAGAGGAGCUUGCUCUUCUUGGAUGAGUUGCGAACGGGUGAGUAACGCGUAGGUAACCUGCCUUGUAGCGGGGGAUAACUAUUGGAAACGAUAGCUAAUACCGCAUAACAAUGGAUGACACAUGUCAUUUAUUUGAAAGGGGCAAUUGCUCCACUACAAGAUGGACCUGCGUUGUAUUAGCUAGUAGGUGAGGUAACGGCUCACCUAGGCGACGAUACAUAGCCGACCUGAGAGGGUGAUCGGCCACACUGGGACUGAGACACGGCCCAGACUCCUACGGGAGGCAGCAGUAGGAAUCUUCGGCAAUGGGGGCAACCCUGACCGAGCAACGCCGCGUGAGUGAAGAAGGUUUUCGGAUCGUAAAGCUCUGUUGUAAGUCAAGAACGAGUGUGAGAGUGGAAAGUUCACACUG
RNAcentral lists this ribosomal RNA (458 nucleotides) under Streptococcus sp. oral taxon C65. RNAcentral's name for it is "bacterial SSU rRNA". It matches the Rfam family "Bacterial small subunit ribosomal RNA", at positions 28 to 471 of the family's 1533-position model. The record is from RNAcentral. Lineage: Bacteria; Bacillati; Bacillota; Bacilli; Lactobacillales; Streptococcaceae.